AAUAAUUUCUUAAAAUUUAAAUAACAUUAAAAUACCAAUAUUACUCAUCAAAUAAUAAAUUAAAAAUUUUUGGGGUGUUACAUAAUCCAUCAUUUUUAUCGUUGCCCUCCAUCCCAUCUAAUGGAAGGAUUUUAACGAAAUUAAUAAAUUGCCACCUCUACAAUUUUUAUAUUGCAAUUGCAUAAUUUUUUUUUUAUUUCAAAAAAAUUAAUUACAUCUUUUGAUAAAUAUAUUAGUUAAAUUUUGUAUUUUUAUUUUGUUUCAUUUAAUUUUUAAUUCAAUUCCUAUAAUUUUAAAACAUAA
Molecule: unclassified non-coding RNA, 303 nt
Filed under: Hevea brasiliensis (rubber tree)
Lineage: Eukaryota; Viridiplantae; Streptophyta; Magnoliopsida; Malpighiales; Euphorbiaceae
Source: RNAcentral